This 254-nucleotide ribosomal RNA is filed under the name uncultured bacterium. RNAcentral describes it as "partial 16S ribosomal RNA". It matches the Rfam family "Bacterial small subunit ribosomal RNA", at positions 524 to 776 of the family's 1533-position model. The record is from RNAcentral. RNAcentral also lists the same sequence under 1 other name.
UACAGAGACCCCGAGCGUUAUCCGGAUUUAUUGGGCGUAAAGCGUCUGUAGGCGUCCUGCACAAGUCCCCGGUCAAAGCCCACCGCUCAACGGUGGAACUGCCAGGGAAACUAGCAGGAUUGAGGUUGGGAGAGGUAAGCGGAAUUGCCGGUGUAGUAGUAAAAUGCGUUAAUAUCGGCAAGAACACCAAAGGCGAAGGCAGCUUACUGGAACACACCUGACGCUGAGAGACGAAAGCGUGGGGAGCGAAUGGG